This is a long non-coding RNA of Equus quagga, 1464 nucleotides long. RefSeq lists it as uncharacterized. NCBI's taxonomy places the organism in Eukaryota, Metazoa, Chordata, Mammalia, Perissodactyla, Equidae. The transcript is spliced from 2 exons. The record is from RefSeq and is a predicted model, not a curated record.
CAUUUUCCCUCAUGUUUGGAUGAAAGAGGCCGAGGAGAGCUUGGAUUGGAGGUGUUUGGGAUGCGCGAGAGAGCGUUCCCCCCCGCGGGCUGCGAGUGGUGCGGUCCAGGGACUGCUAGGGGCGGGGAGAGAAGUGUUUACGGAACUGGGGCAGCCUUGCCGCCCGGAGCACCCGGCGUUGGAGGCGGGGCCUGCAGGGGCCCUAGGGGGCGGGGCCGAGUGGGGCGCGGAGGGCGGGGCGGAGCGGGGGCGCUGGGGGCGGGGCGAAGCCGUCGGCGGAUCGGCUCGUGGAGCGCUGGACUGACCUCCCUAGGCUUCCGGGGCGCCCCAGCGUGGACCAUGCUGCAAGCUUCCGGCCGGCGGGGGGACGUUUUACUGCGGAACACCCCUCAUCUAGAAGGGGCGAUCUAAAUUGGGUGCCCACCAUCACACCGUCCGCGCAUACAGAGACAACCCAAGCGACAACGUGGCAAGUAUGUUCCCACGGACGUCGGCAACCUAGCGUGUCACGGACGUUUGUAUCUGCACCUCCACGUAAACACGAAUCCAGAUUUGCAUGUGGCUGGACGGGAUGAUUAGCUACUGGAGUUACCCCCACCCAGGCUCUCUGAAGACGUAAACUUGGUAUCAAGAGAUUGAAGAGAAAAUGCGGUUGCCACCAAGAUUCUUUCCUAUGAACAUGCCCGUGUUUAUAUCAUUUGUUGGAAUCAGCAGCCAGGAUGAGAGAAGCCUCCAAUUUCAAUUCUUGCCAAAUAAUAACCGUCAUACAACAACUGCCAUCACCACCCUAAAAACUCCACAAUAGCAGGAUUAACCAAAAAUAUCCCCAAACUUCUGGACACUGUGACAAUGACACAUGGCAGCUUUGCUUCCUUUUUGAGCAUUGUAGGAGCUUGUUAAGUAUUGUUUUUAUGCUAUUAUGUAACUUGGAGCAGAUGAGCAUGAGUCAGGAAUUGUCCUGCCUACCUGGGUGACCAGCUACCUGACCCUAGGCAUGGCACUUACAUAAAGCCCAAAUAUGUAACUCUCAAAGCCACAAGGAAGCAGUUUUUGUCAAAGCAGAUGAGUCAAGUUUCAGCUUGUGCUCUGGUGAGAACUUUGAGAUGGAAGGGGGGUUGCGGGGGGUAACAUCAGAGACUCAAGCCAGAGACAGAAAAUAUCCUGGAAACACAAUCUUCUGUUACUUCGACAUUAAAUAACUUGCUGUCUGGAGACCUUCUGGUCAAUUACCUGACCAACUGCCCUUGGCCUGGCUUGUAUAUAAAAGCACUUUGAAAAAACAUGGUGCUAUAAAAUAUUAGACAGGUCACUUAAAAAAGGAACCUUGUAUCACAUUCUUGCUCAGAGAGCUCAGGCAAUCAGCGUAAAGUCCUUCUUGCUCGAAUUAUGUUCAUGACCUUCUGAAAACUGUGUCUGAAAAGGCAACCUCUUUAGUAAAUAAAAUAGCUUUUUAUUUGAAAAUGA